RNAcentral lists this ribosomal RNA (262 nucleotides) under uncultured archaeon. RNAcentral describes it as "partial 16S ribosomal RNA". It matches the Rfam family "Archaeal small subunit ribosomal RNA", at positions 720 to 982 of the family's 1478-position model. The record is from RNAcentral.
CACUGACAUUAGAUACCCGUGUAGUCCAGGGUGUAAACGCUGCAGACUUGGUGUUGGAAGCCCUUUGGGGGCAUUCAGUGCCGGAGAGAAGUUGUUAAGUCUGCUACUUGGGGAGUACGUCCGCAAGGAUGAAACUUAAAGGAAUUGGCGGGGGAGCACCGCAACGGGAGGAGCGUGCGGUUUAAUUGGAUUCAACACCGUAAAACUCACCAGGGAAGACUGUUACAUGAAGGCCGAGAUGAAGACUCUGCUAGAUUUUCAG